RNAcentral lists this ribosomal RNA (119 nucleotides) under Lupinus angustifolius (narrow-leaved blue lupine). The record is from RNAcentral. Lineage: Eukaryota; Viridiplantae; Streptophyta; Magnoliopsida; Fabales; Fabaceae.
AGUUGUGAUCAUACCAACACUAAUGCACCAGAUCUGAUCAGAACUCUGCAUAUAUGCAUGCUUGGGCGAGAGUAGUACUAGGAUGGGUGACCUCCUAGGAAGUCCUCGUGUUGCAACUA